Molecule: ribosomal RNA, 549 nt
Filed under: Aspergillus niger
Lineage: Eukaryota; Fungi; Ascomycota; Eurotiomycetes; Eurotiales; Aspergillaceae
Description: eukaryotic LSU rRNA
Rfam family: 5.8S ribosomal RNA (bases 183-336)
Source: RNAcentral
GUGCGGGUCCUUUGGGCCCAACCUCCCAUCCGUGUCUAUUGUACCCUGUUGCUUCGGCGGGCCCGCCGCUUGUCGGCCGCCGGGGGGGCGCCUCUGCCCCCCGGGCCCGUGCCCGCCGGAGACCCCAACACGAACACUGUCUGAAAGCGUGCAGUCUGAGUUGAUUGAAUGCAAUCAGUUAAAACUUUCAACAAUGGAUCUCUUGGUUCCGGCAUCGAUGAAGAACGCAGCGAAAUGCGAUAACUAAUGUGAAUUGCAGAAUUCAGUGAAUCAUCGAGUCUUUGAACGCACAUUGCGCCCCCUGGUAUUCCGGGGGGCAUGCCUGUCCGAGCGUCAUUGCUGCCCUCAAGCCCGGCUUGUGUGUUGGGUCGCCGUCCCCCUCUCCGGGGGGACGGGCCCGAAAGGCAGCGGCGGCACCGCGUCCGAUCCUCGAGCGUAUGGGGCUUUGUCACAUGCUCUGUAGGAUUGGCCGGCGCCUGCCGACGUUUUCCAACCAUUCUUUCCAGGUUGACCUCGGAUCAGGUAGGGAUACCCGCUGAACUUAAGCAU